This 465-nucleotide ribosomal RNA is filed under the name Vreelandella stevensii. RNAcentral's name for it is "partial 16S ribosomal RNA". It matches the Rfam family "Bacterial small subunit ribosomal RNA", at positions 338 to 795 of the family's 1533-position model. Lineage: Bacteria; Pseudomonadati; Pseudomonadota; Gammaproteobacteria; Oceanospirillales; Halomonadaceae. The record is from RNAcentral.
CCUACGGGAGGCAGCAGUGGGGAAUCUUGGACAAUGGGGGCAACCCUGAUCCAGCCAUGCCGCGUGUGUGAAGAAGGCCCUCGGGUUGUAAAGCACUUUCAGUGAGGAAGAACGCCUGGUGGUUAAUACCCAUCAGGAAAGACAUCACUCACAGAAGAAGCACCGGCUAACUCCGUGCCAGCAGCCGCGGUAAUACGGAGGGUGCGAGCGUUAAUCGGAAUUACUGGGCGUAAAGCGCGCGUAGGUGGCUUGAUAAGCCGGUUGUGAAAGCCCCGGGCUCAACCUGGGAACGGCAUCCGGAACUGUCAAGCUAGAGUGCAGGAGAGGAGGGUAGAAUUCCCGGUGUAGCGGUGAAAUGCGUAGAGAUCGGGAGGAAUACCAGUGGCGAAGGCGACCUUCUGGACUGACACUGACACUGAGGUGCGAAAGCGUGGGUAGCAAACAGGAUUAGAUACCCUUGUAGUC